This 661-nucleotide long non-coding RNA is filed under the name Homo sapiens (human). RNAcentral describes it as "HSALNT0366172". Lineage: Eukaryota; Metazoa; Chordata; Mammalia; Primates; Hominidae. The record is from RNAcentral.
GAUGGCCACUACUUGCGUGUUGGGCAUGGUGGGGUGGUUAAUAAUCUUGAUCCCAGCUGGAAACUUGCAAGAGUUGGACUCUGCCACUUCCUUGGAGGCCUCUGCUUGAUUAGACUCCUGUUGGGCAGGGGAUCUCUUAGGUUCCUCCUCUGAUGUUUCACUUGGGGCAUUUUGAACAGGAAGGGGCAGCCUCCGUCUUUUGAGAAUCAGUGGCCGACGGGGGCUAGUUUUCAUUAUGAAUCUGCGUUUUCACUCUCCAUUGAGAAUCACAAGUGUGGACCCUGGAAAAUGCAAAUAGUGGCAAGAUGUUAGAGAUUGUUUAGGCUGAGAAGAGGUCCUUUUAGAGAAAGGUGCUCCUCUUUAUAUGACCAGGAACAUGAGCCUAAAGGCCCAGGUAAACAUUCCAUGGACUUUUGUAAAGACCUCAGAUAAUAAGGAGAUAAGCUUUACUGACAAAAGAAGGCUAAAAUUACAGCAGACAGAAGCAAUUCAAAGGGCAAAAAUGGGACUGGGUUGGAGAUAAGACAAAGAUCUCCUUGAAGCUUCAGAAUAUUUGGCUACAGAAAUGGAUGGGAUAGCUACAAAUAUGUGGAAAUCUCUAUAAUUGCCUACUAUAAUAUAAAUAGAUCACUUGCAAUGACUGUAUGGACAGAAAUGGAAG